UUAUUUUCAAUUAACAAGAGUAUACAAGAGGUUUUAUGUUUUUCUUUCCUCAUGUGCUUCAUGCAACACCACAUGGACAAAGAAAUGUUUUUAUGCUUCUUGAUCUACACAAACUUUUUUUUUUUCUGACCGUAACCUGAUCUAACAGAAAGACCAACAGUUUCUUCUGACUCCAAACAGACAAAAUAGCUGAGCAAAAGCUGUAAGAACUGUUUCCAAGACAAAAUGUGAACACAUAAAAAGAAAUAAGACUUGUUAAUCACAAAGGAGAAUUUGUUUUUCCCACUCAAAAGGAGGUAUAUAUUUCCUAAUGAUGAGAGGAAAAAAGUCUUCCAGAUUGUUGGUCUUUAUUUUCCAUAAAUAACUUGGAAGGAGGACAAUACUGCAGCUGAAGAGGGCAUCAGGAAUCCCACAAUGGUGAUGGCUGGAAACUGCAGUUAUGUGUAGAAGAGGAUGCAGAUUUUCUGGAUGAAAUUAAAGAUGAUCAGCAUUACUAAAAAUUGUUGCAAAGUGCAGGAGGAGGUAGAAGGUGGUUCUCUUCAGGGAAACUCUAAGACUUGGAAACAAUAAAUGACAGAUGGUGGAAAAGAAAUUGUAAUAAGCUAUGCAUCUGUGACUGUCUUCAGCAACUACUUAGAAUAUACUGAAAUGAGAAGAAAUAGUCUUGCUGGUUGCAAAGGUUGUCAUGCCUCUGCACUGUCCAUGCUGCUAUCUUUGUUCAGAGGAGCAUGUUGA
RNAcentral lists this long non-coding RNA (735 nucleotides) under Anser brachyrhynchus (Pink-footed goose). Its description in RNAcentral is "lncRNA (ENSABRG00000010958.1)". Lineage: Eukaryota; Metazoa; Chordata; Aves; Anseriformes; Anatidae. The record is from RNAcentral.